AGUGAACGCUGGCGGUAGGCCUAACACAUGCAAGUCGAACGGCAGCACAGUAAGAGCUUGCUCUUACGGGUGGCGAGUGGCGGACGGGUGAGGAAUACAUCGAAAUCUACUUUUUCGUGGGGGAUAACGUAGGGAAACUUACGCUAAUACCGCAUACGACCUACGGGUGAAAGCAGGGGAUCUUCGGACCUUGCGCGAUUGAAUGAGCCGAUGUCGGAUUAGCUAGUUGGCGGGGUAAAGGCCCACCAAGGCGACGAUCCGUAGCUGGUCUGAGAGGAUGAUCAGCCACACUGGAACUGAGACACGGUCCAGACUCCUACGGGAGGCAGCAGUGGGGAAUAUUGGACAAUGGGCGCAAGCCUGAUCCAGCCAUACCGCGUGGGUGAAGAAGGCCUUCGGGUUGUAAAGCCCUUUUGUUGGGAAAGAAAGGCAGCAGGUUAAUACCCCGCUGUUCUGACGGUACCCAAAGAAUAAGCACCGGCUAACUUCGU
Molecule: ribosomal RNA, 491 nt
Filed under: uncultured bacterium
Lineage: Bacteria
Description: partial 16S ribosomal RNA
Rfam family: Bacterial small subunit ribosomal RNA
Source: RNAcentral